This 1234-nucleotide ribosomal RNA is filed under the name metagenome. RNAcentral's name for it is "bacterial LSU rRNA". It matches the Rfam family "Bacterial large subunit ribosomal RNA", at positions 1564 to 2808 of the family's 2925-position model. The record is from RNAcentral.
UGAAUACGAGACGCUAAGGCGUCGAAGUAGUGUAUGUCAUACUUCCAAGAAAAGCUUGCACUGUCUUAGAUAAAAAACGCCUGUACCAUAACCGACACAGGUGGGUAGGUAGAGUAUACUAAGGGGCGCGAGAUAACUCUCUCUAAGGAACUCGGCAAAAUAACUCCGUAACUUCGGGAGAAGGAGUGCCUUAUUUAUAAGGCUGCAAUAACAAGAUCCAAGCAACUGUUUAUCAAAAACACAGGUCUCCGCUAAGUCGUAAGACGAUGUAUGGGGGCUGACGCCUGCCCAGUGCCAGAAGGUUAAAGAAGUUGGUUAGCUUUUGCGAAGCUGAUAACUGAAGCCCUGGUGAACGGCGGCCGUAACAAUAACGGUCCUAAGGUAGCGAAAUUCCUUGUCGGGUAAGUUCCGACCCGCACGAAAGGCGUAAUGAUUUGGAUACUGUCUCGGAGAGGGGCUCGGUGAAAUAGACUUGUCUGUGAAGAUGCGGACUACCUGCACCAGGACAGAAAGACCCUAUGAAGCUUUACUGUAACUUGAAAUUGAAAUUGGACUUUAUUCGCGCAGCAUAGGUGGGAGGCGUUGAUUAUAAUCUCGUGGGAUUAUUGGAGCCAUCAGUGAGAUACCACUCUUGUAAUGUUAGAUUUCUAACUUUGAAUCAUUAUCUGGUCAAAGAACAGUUUCAGGCGGGCAGUUUGACUGGGGCGGUCGCCUCCUAAACGGUAACGGAGGCGUACAAAGGUUUCCUCUGAACGGUUAGAAAUCGUAUCUAGAGUGUAAAGGCAUAAGGAAGCUUGACUGUGAGACCUACAAGUCGAGCAGGGACGAAAGUCGGUCUUAGUGAUCUGACGGUACUGAGUGGAAAGGCCGUCACUCAACGGAUAAAAGUUACUCUAGGAUAACAGGCUGAUCUCCCCCAAGAGUUCACAUCGACGGGGAGGUUUGGCACCUUGAUGUCGGCUCAUCGCAUCCUGGGGCGGUAGUACGUCCCAAGGGUUGGGCUGUUCGCCCAUGAAAGCGGUACGCGAGCUGGGUUCAGAACGUCGUGAGACAGUUCGGUCCAUAUCCGGUGUAGGCGUUAGAAUAUUGAGAGGAGCCUUCUUUAGUACGAGAGGACCGAGAAGGACAUACCUCUGGUGUACCAGUUAUCGUGCCAACGGUAAACGCUGGGUAGCUAUGUAUGGAGUGGAUAACCGCUGAAAGCAUCUAAGUGGGAAGCCCACCUCAAGAUAAG